Molecule: long non-coding RNA, 503 nt
Organism: Pezoporus flaviventris
Lineage: Eukaryota; Metazoa; Chordata; Aves; Psittaciformes; Psittacidae
Exons: 3
Source: RefSeq, a predicted model, not a curated record
GCAGGGCUGGCGCUGCCCUUCCGCGGCAAAACCACUGUCACCGGCCUUCUGGGUGCCUGCGUGAAGCUCUACAGGGAGCGCAGACAAAAUAGCCCAAGCGACCUCUUUACCUCCUCAGGGUCCGCCCCUGUGUCUCCCAGAAUUGCUGUCCAGCACUAAAGCAUCUGUACGAGCACUGGCUUUUAAAACCAGAGGUGCCAAAGGGAUUUGAGGAAUCCUGGGAUUUAAUAAUUAAAGCUGACACUAGGGUCCCUCCUGUCAGUCGCCUUUUGCCUGCAGCAGCACGUUUGAGGCAAAACAGUAGCAACAGCAGCAGUGGAUGCACCAAACAGACGGACAGAGCCCGCACGGACGGACGGAUGGACGCGUGCUCACGCCUCGCCAGGCUGUCAUGUCUCACCUCUUACGUAACAUUCAAGUGAGAUUUCUCACAGUGCUACCUUGGCAACAAACUAAAAAUAUCUAGGCAAGGUCUUGGUUUAAGCCUUAUUCUAAAAGCUUUA